CGGGGUGCAGCAGGCGCGAAAACUUUACAAUGCCGGCAACGGCGAUAAGGGAACCUCGAGUGCCAGGUUACAAAUCUGGCUGUCGUGAUGCCUAAAAAGCAUUGCAUAGCAAGGGCCGGGCGAGACCGGUGCCAGCCGCCGCGGUAACACCGGCGGCUCGAGUGGUAACCGUUAUUAUUGGGUCUAAAGGGUCUGUAGCCGGCCGGGUAGGUCUCUUGGGAAAUCUGGCAGCUUAACUGUCAGGCUUUCAGGAGAUACUGCCUGGCUCGAGGCCGGGAGAGGUGAGAGGUACUUCAGGGGUAGGGGUGAAAUCUUGUAAUCCUUGAAGGACCACCAGUGGCGAAGGAGUCUCACCAGAACGGACCUGACGGCAAGGGACGAAAGCUAGGGGCACGAACCGGAUUAGAUACCCGGGUAGUCCUAGCCGUAAACGAUACUCGCUAGGUGUCGGCCACGGUGCGACCGUGGUCGGUGCCGUAGGGAAGCCGUAAAGCGAGCUACCUGGGAAGUACGGCCGCAAGGCUGAAACUUAAAGGAAUUGGCGGGGGAGCAC
RNAcentral lists this ribosomal RNA (553 nucleotides) under uncultured archaeon. RNAcentral's name for it is "bacterial SSU rRNA". It matches the Rfam family "Archaeal small subunit ribosomal RNA", at positions 326 to 879 of the family's 1478-position model. The record is from RNAcentral.